Molecule: ribosomal RNA, 202 nt
Filed under: uncultured bacterium
Lineage: Bacteria
Description: partial 16S ribosomal RNA
Rfam family: Bacterial small subunit ribosomal RNA
Source: RNAcentral
UAGUCUGCAACUCGACUACAUGAAGCUGGAAUCGCUAGUAAUCGCGAAUCAGCAUGUCGCGGUGAAUACGUUCCCGGGUCUUGUACACACCGCCCGUCACACCAUGGGAGUUGGCAACGCCCGAAGCCAGUGACCCAACCGGAAACGGAGGGAGCUGUCGAAGGUGGGACCGAUAACUGGGGUGAAGUCGUAACAAGGUAAC